This 421-nucleotide ribosomal RNA is filed under the name uncultured bacterium. Its description in RNAcentral is "bacterial SSU rRNA". It matches the Rfam family "Bacterial small subunit ribosomal RNA", at positions 355 to 774 of the family's 1533-position model. The record is from RNAcentral.
UGAGGAAUAUUGGUCAAUGGGCGGGAGCCUGAACCAGCCAAGUCGCGUGAGGGAUGACGGCCCUAUGGGUUGUAAACCUCUUUUGCCGGGGAGCAAAGUGCCGCACGUGUGCGGUUUGGAGAGUACCCGGAGAAAAAGCAUCGGCUAACUCCGUGCCAGCAGCCGCGGUAAUACGGAGGAUGCGAGCGUUAUCCGGAUUUAUUGGGUUUAAAGGGUGCGUAGGCGGACGCUUAAGUCAGCGGUAAAAUUGCGGGGCUCAACCUCGUCGAGCCGUUGAAACUGGGUGCCUUGAGUGGGCGAGAAGUACGCGGAAUGCGUGGUGUAGCGGUGAAAUGCAUAGAUAUCACGCAGAACUCCGAUUGCGAAGGCAGCGUACCGGCGCCCAACUGACGCUGAAGCACGAAGGCGUGGGUAUCGAACA